AGAACAAUAGUUUAAACAGAACAUUUAUUUUGCAUAUAAAAGGUAUAAUAAAUAUUAUUUGUUUUA
Molecule: transfer RNA, 66 nt
Filed under: Aeolothrips xinjiangensis
Lineage: Eukaryota; Metazoa; Arthropoda; Insecta; Thysanoptera; Aeolothripidae
Description: tRNA-Ala
Source: RNAcentral